GUUUGGUUCGGGGUUAAGAAAAAAGUAGCUAUUCCAGGGAUAGGGUUAAGUUUAGGGUUAAAGUGGGGUUAAAGUUUUUUUGUGUUUGGUUGGGGGUUGGAGUUAAUCUAGAAUAAUGAAAAAUAGUGUUUGGUUGGAGUAGGUGGGAUAAGAAGAUAAUGAUUGAUAAAGAAGGAUAAUGAUUGGUUGGAGUAGGUGGGGUUGGAGUAGGUGGGAUAAGAAGAUAAUGAUUGAUAAAGAAGGAUAAUGAUUGGUUUGAGUUGAUGGGAUAAGAAGAUAAUGAUUGAUAAAAAAGGAUAAUGAUUGGUUGGAGUAGGUGGGAUAAGAAGAUAAUAAUUGAUAAAGAAGGAUAAUNUAUAUAUAUAUAUAUAUAUAGUCCGGCUACUAUACUCUUAUGAGUACGAUCGCCCUCGUACUCAUAAGUUGUUUUCGAUGAUAAAGCUUCCGAAUCACCGAUCCAUACCGUUAAACAAUAUCUAGAUCAUUUAAAACUUCUAGGAAUUAAAUUUUAUAAUUUUUCGAUAUCAUUUACCUUACGAUCAAAAUGUCACAAAAUCGACAAUUUUUAACGACCGGUACGAGAUAUUUGCUAGUUUAACGGUGAAAAAGAAUCGAAAUAGGUUGAAUUUUUGAUAAAAAAUUCUAUUCACUACCUAAAUAAAGAUCAAUAACACCGAUCUUAAAUUUAAGGAUCUGAUCAUCCAUUUUUAGGAUGUCAUUCGAUUUUAACCGUCCAUUUUAUACUCGCUUGAUGGAUUUUAUAAUGAUUUCGAAAAUUUAUAAAAUUUAUUUCUAUAAAUUUCAAAUACUCUAGAUCAUAUUUAACGGUGUGGAUCAUCGAUUUGAAAACUCCACCAUCGAAAACAACUUAUGAGUAGUAAGGGUUCUAUACUCAUAAGAGUAUAGUAGCCCUACUCUAUAUAUAUAUAAAUUUAUAUAUAGUCCGGCUACUAUACUCUUAUGAGUACGAUCGCCUUCGUACUUAUAAGUUGUUUUCGAUGAUAAAGCUUUUGAAUCGACGAUCCAUACCGUUAAACAUUGUUUAUAGCAUUUAAAAAUCUUAGAAAUCAAAUUUUAUAAUUUUUUGAUACAAUUUACCUUACAAUCAAAAGCUCACAAAAUUGACAAUUUUUAACGGCCGGUAUAAGAUAUUUGCUAGUGUAACGGUGUAAAAGAAUAUGAAUCGGUUGAAUUUUUGAUAGAAAAUUCUAUUCACUAUCUAAAUAAAUAUCAAUAACUCCGAUCUUAAAUUGAAGAAUCCGAUCAUCCAUUUUUAGGAUGUCGUUUAAUUUUGACCAUUCAUUUUAUACCUGCUUGAUGGAUUUUAUAAUAAUUUUGAAAAAUUACGAAAUUUAUUUUCUAAAAGUUUCAAAUACUCUAGAUCAUAUUUAACGGUGUGGAUCGUCGAUUCGAAAGCCCCAACAUCGAAAACAACUUGUGAGUACGAAGAACUUUAUAUUCNGGUUGGAGUAGGUGGGAUAAGAAGAUAAUGAUUGAUAAAGAAGGAUAAUGAUUGGUUUGAGUUGAUGGGAUAAGAAGAUAAUGAUUGAUAAAAAAGGAUAAUGAUUGGUUGGAGUAGGUGGGAUAAGAAGAUAAUAAUUGAUAAAGAAGGAUAAUGAGGAUUAAAAUAAUUAUGAGGAUUAAAAUUAUAUAAUUUUUUGCGUAAUUGUAUACCAAAAUUUUUUUUUCACUACUCUUUUGUAAUUUUGAAAUAUUCCUCAAAUUUUCAAACAACAAUAUUAAACUUGUCAUAUUUAUAAAUUUCACUCUCAAUAGUAUUUCCUGAACUACAAUUAAUAUUUUAAUUAUAAUAUCAUUUUAACCCUCCAAAAAUACUAAUUGCGAACCUUUCAAAUUUAGCCCUUAGUGGAGUUGAGUAUCAUUAGACGCUUUCAAAUCCGAUUUGUUUCGAUCUUUCAAACUUUGCAUUGCUAUUCGAAUAUCAUUAAUAAUUCUGAAAUAUUUACAUACAUCAAAUCAAUCUGCACAUCAACGAACAUUUACACAGAUAACAACACAAAACAAUAAAAAAUAAAAACAUGUACAACCAAAACAUUUUGAAAUAGUACAAAUAUAUAACAGAAUAACAAAAUAAAAAUAUCUACCAACAUAUCUAUCUACCAAUAUUCAAAUAACAAAGCAUAUGCAUCUCAUACAUCAUCAUCUUACAAUUGUCAAAUAACAAUAUAACCACUACACUCAAUUCUACCAAAUAUCAAUACAAUUAUCUAAUUUAUAUAAAAUUAUAUUCUAGUGUUCCACAAUUGAUUUGUAAUAUUAGCACGUAGAUCCUCACCAUUUUGGGAGUCCUCAAUUACUCCCACUAAAUCGUCCACUCCACCUUCAUUUUCAGCGUCCUGUUCAUCUGGACCCUCAUUAGGAACAAUGUUAUCAUUUGCUUGGUGACGGCGAAUAAAGUUAUGUAUUAUACAACAUGCCAUAGCAAUCAAGCAUUGAACUUN
Molecule: long non-coding RNA, 2462 nt
Filed under: Ananas comosus (pineapple)
Lineage: Eukaryota; Viridiplantae; Streptophyta; Magnoliopsida; Poales; Bromeliaceae
Description: long non-coding RNA (ACOM_LNC029730)
Source: RNAcentral